UACGUAGGGGGCUAGCGUUGCUCGGAAUCACUGGGCGUAAAGCGCACGUAGGCGGAUUGCUAAGUCAGGGGUGAAAUCCUGGAGCUCAACUCCAGAACUGCCUUUGAUACUGGCAAUCUCGAGUCCGGGAGAGGUGAGUGGAACUGCGAGUGUAGAGGUGAAAUUCGUAGAUAUUCGCAAGAACACCAGUGGCGAAGGCGGCUCACUGGCCCGGUACUGACGCUGAGGUGCGAAAGCGUGGGGAGCAAACAGG
This 253-nucleotide ribosomal RNA is filed under the name uncultured bacterium. RNAcentral's name for it is "partial 16S ribosomal RNA". It matches the Rfam family "Bacterial small subunit ribosomal RNA", at positions 524 to 776 of the family's 1533-position model. The record is from RNAcentral.